RNAcentral lists this transfer RNA (92 nucleotides) under Gracilibacillus orientalis. RNAcentral's name for it is "tRNA_Ser_GGA". It matches the Rfam family "tRNA". Rfam says of the family: Transfer RNA (tRNA) molecules are approximately 80 nucleotides in length. RNAcentral also lists the same sequence under 2 other names. Lineage: Bacteria; Bacillati; Bacillota; Bacilli; Caryophanales; Bacillaceae. The record is from RNAcentral.
GGAGAGCUGUCCGAGUGGCCGAAGGAGCACGAUUGGAAAUCGUGUGUGCGGUCAACGCCGUACCGAGGGUUCGAAUCCCUCGCUCUCCGCCA